UACGAAGGGGGCUAGCGUUGUUCGGAAUUACUGGGCGUAAAGGGCGCGUAGGCGGCCUGUUAAGUCGAACGUGAAAUCCCCGGGCUCAACCCGGGAACUGCGUCCGAUACUGGCAGGCUUGAAUUCGGGAGAGGGAUGCGGAAUUCCAGGUGUAGCGGUGAAAUGCGUAGAUAUCUGGAGGAACACCGGUGGCGAAGGCGGCAUCCUGGACCGAGAUUGACGCUGAUGCGCGAAAGCCAGGGGAGCAAACGGG
This 253-nucleotide ribosomal RNA is filed under the name uncultured bacterium. RNAcentral describes it as "partial 16S ribosomal RNA". It matches the Rfam family "Bacterial small subunit ribosomal RNA", at positions 524 to 776 of the family's 1533-position model. The record is from RNAcentral.